RNAcentral lists this ribosomal RNA (500 nucleotides) under Salmonella enterica subsp. enterica serovar Paratyphi B var. L(+) tartrate +. Its description in RNAcentral is "partial 23S ribosomal RNA". It matches the Rfam family "Bacterial large subunit ribosomal RNA", at positions 721 to 1220 of the family's 2925-position model. The record is from RNAcentral. Lineage: Bacteria; Pseudomonadati; Pseudomonadota; Gammaproteobacteria; Enterobacterales; Enterobacteriaceae.
CCCGGUGAUCUAGCCAUGGGCAGGUUGAAGGUUGGGUAACACUAACUGGAGGACCGAACCGACUAAUGUUGAAAAAUUAGCGGAUGACCUGUGGCUGGGGGUGAAAGGCCAAUCAAACCGGGAGAUAGCUGGUUCUCCCCGAAAGCUAUUUAGGUAGCGCCUCGUGAAUUCAUCUCCGGGGGUAGAGCACUGUUUCGGCUAGGGGGCCAUCCCGGCUUACCAACCCGAUGCAAACUGCGAAUACCGGAGAAUGUUAUCACGGGAGACACACGGCGGGUGCUAACGUCCGUCGUGAAGAGGGAAACAACCCAGACCGCCAGCUAAGGUCCCAAAGUCAUGGUUAAGUGGGAAACGAUGUGGGAAGGCCCAGACAGCCAGGAUGUUGGCUUAGAAGCAGCCAUCAUUUAAAGAAAGCGUAAUAGCUCACUGGUCGAGUCGGCCUGCGCGGAAGAUGUAACGGGGCUAAACCAUGCACCGAAGCUGCGGCAGCGACGCUUAUG